This 361-nucleotide ribosomal RNA is filed under the name uncultured Rhodoferax sp. RNAcentral describes it as "bacterial SSU rRNA". It matches the Rfam family "Bacterial small subunit ribosomal RNA", at positions 1020 to 1382 of the family's 1533-position model. Lineage: Bacteria; Pseudomonadati; Pseudomonadota; Betaproteobacteria; Burkholderiales; Comamonadaceae. The record is from RNAcentral.
AAGAGAGCCGUAACACAGGUGCUGCAUGGCUGUCGUCAGCUCGUGUCGUGAGAUGUUGGGUUAAGUCCCGCGACGAGCGCAACCCUUGUCAUUAGUUGCUACAUUCAGUUGGGCACUCUAAUGAGACUGCCGGUGACAAGCCGGAGGAAGGUGGGGAUGACGUCAAGUCCUCAUGGCCCUUAUAGGUGGGGCUACACACGUCAUACAAUGGCUGGUACAAAGGGUUGCCAACCCGCGAGGGGGGAGCCAAUCCCAUAAAGCCAGUCGUAGUCCGGAUCGUAGUCUGCAACUCGACUACGUGAAGUCGGAAUCGCUAGUAAUCGUGGAUCAGAAUGUCACGGUGAAUACGUUCCCGGGUCUU